Molecule: ribosomal RNA, 332 nt
Filed under: uncultured bacterium
Lineage: Bacteria
Description: bacterial SSU rRNA
Rfam family: Bacterial small subunit ribosomal RNA
Source: RNAcentral
CGCGUAGGCGGUCGUGUGCGUCGGAGGUGAAAUCCCCGGGCUUAACCCGGGAGCUGCCUCCGAUACGGCAUGGCUUGAGUCCGGGAUAGGGGAGCAGAAUUCCCAGUGUAGCGGUGAAAUGCGUAGAUAUUGGGAGGAAUACCAGUGGCGAAGGCGGCUCCCUGGACCGGUACUGACGCUGAGGCGCGAAAGCGUGGGUAACAAACAGGAUUAGAUACCCUGGUAGUCCACGCCGUAAACGAUGGGUGCUUGGUGUCGGGGGUAUCGACCCCUCCGGUGCCGAAGCUAACGCAUUAAGCACCCCGCCUGGGGAGUACGGUCGCAAGGCUGAA